This 2900-nucleotide ribosomal RNA is filed under the name Escherichia coli DEC10C. RNAcentral describes it as "bacterial LSU rRNA". It matches the Rfam family "Bacterial large subunit ribosomal RNA". Lineage: Bacteria; Pseudomonadati; Pseudomonadota; Gammaproteobacteria; Enterobacterales; Enterobacteriaceae. The record is from RNAcentral.
UAAGCGACUAAGCGUACACGGUGGAUGCCCUGGCAGUCAGAGGCGAUGAAGGACGUGCUAAUCUGCGAUAAGCGUCGGUAAGGUGAUAUGAACCGUUAUAACCGGCGAUUUCCGAAUGGGGAAACCCAGUGUGUUUCGACACACUAUCAUUAACUGAAUCCAUAGGUUAAUGAGGCGAACCGGGGGAACUGAAACAUCUAAGUACCCCGAGGAAAAGAAAUCAACCGAGAUUCCCCCAGUAGCGGCGAGCGAACGGGGAGCAGCCCAGAGCCUGAAUCAGUGUGUGUGUUAGUGGAAGCGUCUGGAAAGGCGCGCGAUACAGGGUGACAGCCCCGUACACAAAAAUGCACAUGCUGUGAGCUCGAUGAGUAGGGCGGGACACGUGGUAUCCUGUCUGAAUAUGGGGGGACCAUCCUCCAAGGCUAAAUACUCCUGACUGACCGAUAGUGAACCAGUACCGUGAGGGAAAGGCGAAAAGAACCCCGGCGAGGGGAGUGAAAAAGAACCUGAAACCGUGUACGUACAAGCAGUGGGAGCACGCUUAGGCGUGUGACUGCGUACCUUUUGUAUAAUGGGUCAGCGACUUAUAUUCUGUAGCAAGGUUAACCGAAUAGGGGAGCCGAAGGGAAACCGAGUCUUAACUGGGCGUUAAGUUGCAGGGUAUAGACCCGAAACCCGGUGAUCUAGCCAUGGGCAGGUUGAAGGUUGGGUAACACUAACUGGAGGACCGAACCGACUAAUGUUGAAAAAUUAGCGGAUGACUUGUGGCUGGGGGUGAAAGGCCAAUCAAACCGGGAGAUAGCUGGUUCUCCCCGAAAGCUAUUUAGGUAGCGCCUCGUGAAUUCAUCUCCGGGGGUAGAGCACUGUUUCGGCAAGGGGGUCAUCCCGACUUACCAACCCGAUGCAAACUGCGAAUACCGGAGAAUGUUAUCACGGGAGACACACGGCGGGUGCUAACGUCCGUCGUGAAGAGGGAAACAACCCAGACCGCCAGCUAAGGUCCCAAAGUCAUGGUUAAGUGGGAAACGAUGUGGGAAGGCCCAGACAGCCAGGAUGUUGGCUUAGAAGCAGCCAUCAUUUAAAGAAAGCGUAAUAGCUCACUGGUCGAGUCGGCCUGCGCGGAAGAUGUAACGGGGCUAAACCAUGCACCGAAGCUGCGGCAGCGACGCUGAUGCGUUGUUGGGUAGGGGAGCGUUCUGUAAGCCUGUGAAGGUGUGCUGUGAGGCAUGCUGGAGGUAUCAGAAGUGCGAAUGCUGACAUAAGUAACGAUAAAGCGGGUGAAAAGCCCGCUCGCCGGAAGACCAAGGGUUCCUGUCCAACGUUAAUCGGGGCAGGGUGAGUCGACCCCUAAGGCGAGGCCGAAAGGCGUAGUCGAUGGGAAACAGGUUAAUAUUCCUGUACUUGGUGUUACUGCGAAGGGGGGACGGAGAAGGCUAUGUUGGCCGGGCGACGGUUGUCCCGGUUUAAGCGUGUAGGCUGGUUUUCCAGGCAAAUCCGGAAAACUAAGGCUGAGGCGUGAUGACGAGGCACUACGGUGCUGAAGCAACAAAUGCCCUGCUUCCAGGAAAAGCCUCUAAGCAUCAGGUAACAUCAAAUCGUACCCCAAACCGACACAGGUGGUCAGGUAGAGAAUACCAAGGCGCUUGAGAGAACUCGGGUGAAGGAACUAGGCAAAAUGGUGCCGUAACUUCGGGAGAAGGCACGCUGAUAUGUAGGUGAAGUCCCUCGCGGAUGGAGCUGAAAUCAGUCGAAGAUACCAGCUGGCUGCAACUGUUUAUUAAAAACACAGCACUGUGCAAACACGAAAGUGGACGUAUACGGUGUGACGCCUGCCCGGUGCCGGAAGGUUAAUUGAUGGGGUUAGCGCAAGCGAAGCUCUUGAUCGAAGCCCCGGUAAACGGCGGCCGUAACUAUAACGGUCCUAAGGUAGCGAAAUUCCUUGUCGGGUAAGUUCCGACCUGCACGAAUGGCGUAAUGAUGGCCAGGCUGUCUCCACCCGAGACUCAGUGAAAUUGAACUCGCUGUGAAGAUGCAGUGUACCCGCGGCAAGACGGAAAGACCCCGUGAACCUUUACUAUAGCUUGACACUGAACAUUGAGCCUUGAUGUGUAGGAUAGGUGGGAGGCUUUGAAGUGUGGACGCCAGUCUGCAUGGAGCCGACCUUGAAAUACCACCCUUUAAUGUUUGAUGUUCUAACGUUGACCCGUAAUCCGGGUUGCGGACAGUGUCUGGUGGGUAGUUUGACUGGGGCGGUCUCCUCCUAAAGAGUAACGGAGGAGCACGAAGGUUGGCUAAUCCUGGUCGGACAUCAGGAGGUUAGUGCAAUGGCAUAAGCCAGCUUGACUGCGAGCGUGACGGCGCGAGCAGGUGCGAAAGCAGGUCAUAGUGAUCCGGUGGUUCUGAAUGGAAGGGCCAUCGCUCAACGGAUAAAAGGUACUCCGGGGAUAACAGGCUGAUACCGCCCAAGAGUUCAUAUCGACGGCGGUGUUUGGCACCUCGAUGUCGGCUCAUCACAUCCUGGGGCUGAAGUAGGUCCCAAGGGUAUGGCUGUUCGCCAUUUAAAGUGGUACGCGAGCUGGGUUUAGAACGUCGUGAGACAGUUCGGUCCCUAUCUGCCGUGGGCGCUGGAGAACUGAGGGGGGCUGCUCCUAGUACGAGAGGACCGGAGUGGACGCAUCACUGGUGUUCGGGUUGUCAUGCCAAUGGCACUGCCCGGUAGCUAAAUGCGGAAGAGAUAAGUGCUGAAAGCAUCUAAGCACGAAACUUGCCCCGAGAUGAGUUCUCCCUGACUCCUUGAGAGUCCUGAAGGAACGUUGAAGACGACGACGUUGAUAGGCCGGGUGUGUAAGCGCAGCGAUGCGUUGAGCUAACCGGUACUAAUGAACCGUGAGGCUUAACCU